Molecule: ribosomal RNA, 485 nt
Filed under: Limosilactobacillus fermentum
Lineage: Bacteria; Bacillati; Bacillota; Bacilli; Lactobacillales; Lactobacillaceae
Description: bacterial SSU rRNA
Rfam family: Bacterial small subunit ribosomal RNA
Source: RNAcentral
GAUGAACGCCGGCGGUGUGCCUAAUACAUGCAAGUCGAACGCGUUGGCCCAAUUGAUUGAUGGUGCUUGCACCUGAUUGAUUUUGGUCGCCAACGAGUGGCGGACGGGUGAGUAACACGUAGGUAACCUGCCCAGAAGCGGGGGACAACAUUUGGAAACAGAUGCUAAUACCGCAUAACAGCGUUGUUCGCAUGAACAACGCUUAAAAGAUGGCUUCUCGCUAUCACUUCUGGAUGGACCUGCGGUGCAUUAGCUUGUUGGUGGGGUAACGGCCUACCAAGGCGAUGAUGCAUAGCCGAGUUGAGAGACUGAUCGGCCACAAUGGGACUGAGACACGGCCCAUACUCCUACGGGAGGCAGCAGUAGGGAAUCUUCCACAAUGGGCGCAAGCCUGAUGGAGCAACACCGCGUGAGUGAAGAAGGGUUUCGGCUCGUAAAGCUCUGUUGUUAAAGAAGAACACGUAUGAGAGUAACUGUUCAUACGU